CAGUAGCCGCGGUAAUGCGUAGGUGGCAAGCGUUGUCCGGAAUUAUUGGGCGUAAAGGGCUCGCAGGCGGUUUCUUAAGUCUGAUGUGAAAGCCCCCGGCUCAACCGGGGAGGGUCAUUGGAAACUAGGAAACUUGAGUGCAGAAGAGGAGAGUGGAAUUCCACGUGUAGCGGUGAAAUGCGUAGAGAUGUGGAGGAACACCAGUGGCGAAGGCGACUCUCUGGUCUGUAACUGACGCUGAGGAGCGAAAGCGUGGGGAGCGAACAGGAUUAGAUACCCCAGUAGUCCCUGUCUCUUAUAC
RNAcentral lists this ribosomal RNA (301 nucleotides) under uncultured bacterium. Its description in RNAcentral is "partial 16S ribosomal RNA". It matches the Rfam family "Bacterial small subunit ribosomal RNA", at positions 509 to 807 of the family's 1533-position model. The record is from RNAcentral.